This 986-nucleotide long non-coding RNA is filed under the name Equus caballus (horse). RNAcentral describes it as "lncRNA (ENSECAG00000046782.1)". The record is from RNAcentral. Lineage: Eukaryota; Metazoa; Chordata; Mammalia; Perissodactyla; Equidae.
UUUCUUUUCAUUGCUAAGUAGUAUUCUGUUGCUAAGUAUUCCAUUCCGUUCCAUUUUUGUCGCCUUUGUCACAUUCCCUAAUAAGGUGUUGGCAGAUAAGCCUUUUCCUCAGGCUCUGCUUUCUGGCAAACCCAAGCUAAGACAGGUGUUACUGAGUGGUACCCUCUUCUGGUUGUUACCAUAAUCUCAGAACAUAUUCCGUGUACUCAUGCGCACAGUCAUUUAGAAGGUUGGUAGAAGCAGGGAAGCUGUGGAGUGGCUUCAGACAUUAAUUUAGAUUGUCCUUGGUAAUUCUUUGGGGCCCAAAGAAUAUAGAGAAUUAUUAAAGGUAAACCUAUAAUCUAGGAGAAAAGCUAUAUGAAUUUAUAGAAUAGGGCACCAUAAUGGGGCAUAUGUUUUAGAAAAAUUACCCUGAGAUAAAUGAUUUAAGAGCUCAUAUUUAGAAAUUCUUAAUUAAAGACAGAAAGUUCAUUUCGUGGAAUGCUUAGGAGGAGAUAAUCAUCAUGGUAUGCGUGGAUUCCAGAGAAAUUAGGAUUUGAUUGGUUAUGGAUUAUUUUCGUCCACAAGCAAAACCAUGAACAAGAGUUACACUAAGAGGAGGUCACUGGGGCAGGAUGAAGACAUUGAUUUUUCUUGGACACUCCAUUUGCAGUGCUUCACCCAGCAGCCUCCCCCCUACCAGAACGGAUCUGGAUGAAUCCAAAUGAUUAACACCCUGCUUUGCUAAAGGAAGCAGAUUCUGGGGAAAGGUGUCAAAAAGGGCAACCCGGUGAGGUAGUGUUGGUUCACAAACUUGGAAGCUUCUGGAUGAAAUCUGAAACUGGCCUCUGUACAUGGAGUGCCUGGGAGAGACCAAAGAAGGAGGCAGACCACUCCAGAUGGGUAGGUGGCGGGUUUCAUAAGCAAGGGAACUAUAUAUGAGGUUUGUCUUGGGUGAGUGCAAGAUGAAUAGAUCUCUGUACCUGCCUGGCAGCAUCUUAAAAAAG